CCGCCGCGCGACGCGCGACGGUGAGUACACGUAUGCAACCUGGCCGCCACAGGGGGAUAACCCGCGGAAACGCGGCCUAAUACCCCGUGACGCCACCGGAGGGCAUCCUCCGGUGGCCAAAGGAGCGAUCCGGUGGCGGAUGGGCAUGCGGCGCAUUAGCUAGACGGCGGGGUGACGGCCCACCGUGGCGACGAUGCGUAGGGGUUCUGAGAGGAAGGCCCCCCACACUGGGACUGAGACACGGCCCAGACUCCUACGGGAGGCAGCAG
This 269-nucleotide ribosomal RNA is filed under the name uncultured bacterium. RNAcentral describes it as "partial 16S ribosomal RNA". It matches the Rfam family "Bacterial small subunit ribosomal RNA", at positions 105 to 347 of the family's 1533-position model. The record is from RNAcentral.